Molecule: ribosomal RNA, 253 nt
Filed under: uncultured bacterium
Lineage: Bacteria
Description: partial 16S ribosomal RNA
Rfam family: Bacterial small subunit ribosomal RNA
Source: RNAcentral
UACGGAGGAUGCAAGCGUUAUCCGGAAUUAUUGGGCGUAAAGCGUCCGUAGGGGGUUAAGUAAGUCUGCUGUUAAAGCGUGGAGCUUAACUCCAUAUCGGCAGUGGAAACUACUUGACUUGAGUGCGGUAGGGGUCAGGGGAAUUCCCAGUGUAGCGCUGAAAUGCGUAGAUAUUGGGAAGAACAUCGCUGGCGAAAGCGUCUGACUGGGCCUGCACUGACACUGAUUGUCGAAAGCUAGGGUAGCGAAAGGG